Phragmites australis (common reed) is the source of this 2025-nucleotide long non-coding RNA. RefSeq lists it as uncharacterized. Lineage: Eukaryota; Viridiplantae; Streptophyta; Magnoliopsida; Poales; Poaceae. The transcript has 7 exons. The record is from RefSeq and is a predicted model, not a curated record.
CGGUCAAGGGCGUCGUAUGUGAGAACGUCUUCGAGAGCUUGGCGAGUGUGUGAAUAUUUAGUUCUCAAUUAUGCUGAUCGGUGAAUUAAUCAAUUGGAUCGGUCAGGUAGAAUUGUUGUUUGCAGUUGUGCAAAGCUUGCAUUUUUACCCUCCGUUGCUUCGUAAGGAAAAAAAAACCCACAUUUUUAUGGAUUACAUGUGCAUGCAGUUUGUCUAAUACUGCAAUUAUACCCUCAAAUUUUCUGUACGCGACUGAAUUCAUCGGGUAUGCAUUUCCUACUUGCUAUUCAUGUUUAGAAAUGACAAGAUGUGCAAACUAGUGAUUCUGAAAUUGUCUCUUGGCAGAUUGUAUUUUCUGAAGCCUGGUGGGUUGGGACAAAAGAAGAAAAUCCAGAAGAACUGAAACUUGAGUUUCCAAAAGAAUUCCAAAAUGAGGGCGCAGCAGCAGAUUGUGAUUUUAGAGGUGGAGCAGGUGCUGCCAUUGAUGAAGCUACCGCCAACAAACCUGGAAAGGAAAAUGCAGAACCCUGUUCCCUGAAAUUUGAAUCUGAUGCUGAUGCUUCUGAAGAUUCAGAUCAUAAGGAUGAGAAUAACACACAGACUACGAGUGAAGCACCUUCAGUCAGACAAUCUGCUAGGACUUCUGGGGAAGCCUUGAAGUAAGACCCAAAUGAUGUACAAAUUCUAGCAUUUUCUGAAGCCUUGAAGUAAGCCUUGAAGUAAGACAAUCUGCUAUGACCCUUUCACUCCUUUUGGUUGGUUUGUUGGGUGCCCAAAUGAUGUACAAAUUCUAUUUUGCUUGAUGACUGAAAAAUUACCUGAUAAUUGUAUCUAUAGGCCCCAGCUGCUAACAGCUUUGAAAGUUAAUAUGCUCAUCGCCUCCAAAGGUACUUGAAAAAUCAUCGUCCCUCUUUGUAUAGGUACACGGAGUUAUCUUCUGCAGAAGACUCGUCUGACAGUGACAAUGAGAUUGAGGUAUCUGAGGACUUGGAUGAUAAGGAGUAAAGAAUGAAAGCCAAAGCGAAGACAUCAAACCUGCAGAUUCUACAGCAAGGUCUCUCUCUAGCAAGAAGGAGCCACUUGUCCAAGCUACUUUGUCUAGCAUGUUUAAAAAGGCAGAAGAGAAAAAGAGGUCUACAAGAAGUCCGAAAGGAUCUCCUGCCACAAAAGAGAGCAGGUCCAAAGGAAAAACAGCCAGUAGGUAAGAAGAAAGGUAAUUAAACUGUUGUCACAUGCGCCUUAUAUUAGCAGCAGCCAUCUACGGACCUCAGUGUGAUAGCAUUUGGUCUAAGCUUCCAAAAGCCUUUCUCAGUGAAUAAGUCUUGGCCUGGAACAAACCAAAAGCUUUAGGAGGGUUCUUCGAGAUGCUUUCAGUUUCGUUCAUAUAGAGGAUCAUGGUUAACUGAGGUUAACACAUUCAUUUCAUGUGCUCUCAAAAAAAUAUAAAUGCCAUGUACAGUUUGUACUGAUUCUCUUGAUAAUUUGUGUGUCGAUGUCAUAUUCUGCGGCGACUAAUGUUUGUAUGUCUUCAUACCCCUCUCUUAUAAACAAGCCCCUAGGACCUGCUCGAUAUAAUACCUACAUGGUGCCACCACUUCGAGGAAGGGUAGACGCCAUCUCACGCCAAACAGGCUGGCCGCUUGCCGUCUGUGCGGUACCUUGCAUUGUGUGCAAGGUUGGGAGCCACGACCUCACACCAAUGCAUGCAGCAUAGAAGAGCCGGAUUGGGAGCCACGACCGUGAAGGAGAAGGCGGAGGAGAUCAUAGAUGGUGUUGAGCCGUGGAGGACUGCAUCUAAGGACAUCAUCACACUGAGAGGCUCCGCCGCCGUUGUUAGCAAGUUCUUUGGUUACACGAUGAACAGGGACGCAACACUGGUCGGGAAGGAGAAUGACAAUGUCAGUGCUGAUUCAUUGCUGUACAUCGUUGGGAAUGUUUGAGAUUAUUAUUGAUUGAUUAAUUGAUCGAGUUGUGUUUGGUGGGUUUGAUCGAGUUAUGUUUGUUGAGUGGUGGUUUCCAGCAUCC